UUGGGGAGCCCUGAAUUUUGGGGGGAUUUUUGGGUGGAUUUUUAGGGGUUUUUGGGGUAUUUCUGGCUGGUUCCUGAGUGGGUUUUUUUGCUAUUUUUGGGAUAUUUCUGGGUGGAUUUUUUGCUAUUUUUGGGGUAUUUCUGGAUGGAUUUUUUGCUAUUUUUGGGAUAUUUCUGGCUGGAUUUUUUGCUAUUUUUGGGAUAUUUCUGGAUGGAUUUUUUGGGAUUUUUGGGAUAUUUCUGGGUGGAUUUUUUUGCUAUUUCUGGGCUAUUUCUGGGAUAUUUCUGGGUGGAUUUUUUGCUAUGUUUGGGGUAUUUCUGGGUGGAUUUUUUGGGUUUUUCUGGGUGGAUUUUUGCUAUUUUUGGGAUAUUUCUGGGUGGAUUUUUUUGCUAUUUUUGGGAUAUUUCUGGGUGGAUUUUUUUGCUAUUUCUGGGAUAUUGCUGGGCUAUUUCUGGGUGGAUUUUUUUGCUAUUUCUGGGAUAUUUCUGGGUGGAUUUUUUUGCUAUUUCUGG
Molecule: long non-coding RNA, 512 nt
Filed under: Zonotrichia albicollis (white-throated sparrow)
Lineage: Eukaryota; Metazoa; Chordata; Aves; Passeriformes; Passerellidae
Description: lncRNA (ENSZALG00000000069.1)
Source: RNAcentral